UACGGAGGGUGCAAGCGUUAUCCGGAUUUACUGGGUUUAAAGGGUGCGUAGGUGGGUCUGUAAGUCAGUGGUGAAAUCUCCGAGCUUAACUCGGAAACUGCCAUUGAUACUAUAGGUCUUGAAUAUCCUGGAGGUAAGCGGAAUAUGUCAUGUAGCGGUGAAAUGCUUAGAUAUGACAUAGAACACCCAUUGCGAAGGCAGCUUACUACGGGAUCAUUGACACUGAGGCACGAAAGCGUGGGGAUCAAACAGG
RNAcentral lists this ribosomal RNA (253 nucleotides) under uncultured bacterium. RNAcentral describes it as "partial 16S ribosomal RNA". It matches the Rfam family "Bacterial small subunit ribosomal RNA", at positions 524 to 776 of the family's 1533-position model. The record is from RNAcentral.